Bos taurus (domestic cattle) is the source of this 2382-nucleotide long non-coding RNA. The record is from Ensembl. NCBI's taxonomy places the organism in Eukaryota, Metazoa, Chordata, Mammalia, Artiodactyla, Bovidae.
GGGCAAGGGGUAUCUGCCUCCGGUUGGGGUUUCAGCAACUCUCCUGCUUAAGGAACCUCAGCUUUGCACUACCUCCCUGGGUAACCCAGGGCCAGACAUUAUCCCUUCCGAGGCUGACUACAGUUUGGCCAGCUGGGUUCCUGGGGGCACAGGCUUCCAUGCAAGGGCCCUGGGGCUCCCUUGGAAGGCAAGAGGUAGCCGUGUAGGCAGGGACUAGGACUGUCAUCUCUGCUUUCACCUUGUAUCUGUCUUGUGCAUUGGAACUUUGUGUAAGACUUUAUAUGAAAAAGUCUUGGAUGUUUUAAAAGCCAUUUUUAAAUGUUUAAAAACCAUUGCAUUGGUUUUCAGCUGUAAGGGGGCUGUUCCGUUGUGGUUGUAGGGAAGGCUCGAAGGAGACCCUGGGCUCCAGACCUAGGGUUUCCAGGAAGAACUUGUGGGUUAGCAGUGAUUUCCUUGGUUGGAAAGCACAGAGGCAGCCCUCUGUAUCUCUGGAGGACGUGUGACUGCCGAGUUCGGGGACACGGCAGCUGGGAACCCGAUGUACUUAAAAGCAUUCAGAGACCACAUAGCAGUGAAUCGCUGAGUAUAAACAACCACUAAAUGCAUCUCCUCACUCGUUCCCAAGCGCAGCUGCUUACCACGAUACAACGUGCCGUUGCAGUUCGUAAACAGCCGAGGCAGGGCAUGGGAGGGCCUCCGAUUCGGCAUCCAUAGGAGCUGACUCCAAAGCCUCCGAUCCCAGGCAGCAGCUGCCCUUCUGCCUGGUUCUCGAGUUGCCCCUGCGGGAGGGACACAGAGCCAGGGCGUACAUCACAACGGCCCGUGGACCAGCCCCCAGAGGCCCGGAGUGGGCCGUGCAGCUGGGACUCCCCAGCUGCAGGCCCGCGAGCCUUGUAGUCGUCUAGCCUCGAGACCGAAGAAAGAGCCCGGAGACAGGGACAGGGACAUCCACGGUCCGUCGGACAGAAGACCUUACAUGUCCGAAGCCAGGUCUUGGAGCAACACACCACUGUCUGCGGCAGGCGGUGACUGCUACGGGGCCAUCAUCUUCACCACUGAGGGCGGGGCGAGGGAAUGCUAUCGCUUAUAGGGGGGAACUGACGUCAGCUAGGUUACCAGGGCAACCAGUCGCUUGGACACGUGCUGCUCACAGUCCCUCAGGUUAACGACCAUCUCGAGGGCAGGUGUUUCCUAUUAGUAAACUAGUAGGUGGAGCCUUUCGGGGCUAAGGAUUAGAACCCGCACUAGCUGGGGCAGGGGGCAGGCACAGGCUGGGGGACCGGAGAAGGUGCCGGUGAAGCAGGGGCGGGUUGAGCAGGGGAGGUACAGAGAACAGGAGAACCACCACCUUGAAUAGCCUGACCAUACACCCUAGGUUGUUUUUUUGUUCUCCCUCUGGGUGUUUAUUUUCCAGGUAAAAUAGGGUCAGUUGUGACUGUGAAAGCUUGGGUCUAUUGUUCAUUCGCUUAGAUGCGUCCAACUCUUUGUGACUCCAUGGAAUGCAGCAACCCAGGCUUCCCUGUCCAUUACUAUCUCCCGGAGCUUGCUCAAAUUCACGUCCAUUGAGUCGGUGAUGCCAUCCCACCAUCUCAUCCUCUGUCCUCCCCUUCUCCUCCUGCCUUCGAUCCUUCCCAGCAUCAGGGUCUUUUCGAGUGAGUCCGGUCUUCGCAUCAGGUGGCCAAAGUACUGGAGCUUCAGCAUCAGCAUCAGUCCUUCCAAUGAAUAUUCAGGGUUGAUUUCCUUGCAGUCCAAGGGACUCACAAGACUCUUCUCUAGUACCACAGUUUGAAAGCAUCAGUCUGCUUCUGUCCAAACACCCAGGGAUGACUCUGGGGGCCUCUUGAUCCACUCAGCACACUCCCUGACUUCUUAGCAAUGCCUCCUACCCCAGCAGGGUGCGGGUUGAGAUCUUUCUUGGGUUCAUCAAACAUCCCCAGCUCAUCUGCCCACUGAUCCGAGGGGCUAUCAUUUAUCCCAAAGCAUCACCGGGAGUUUCUGAUUUAUUGGUGACGGGUCAGCUGUGUUCUUUAGGCAGUUUAUGGCCGUGCCAUUAAAUUUUCAGAGAUUAAGAGCAUGAUGGGAAAGAUAAAUGUAGUGAUUCUGGGGAUCCUGGGAGACCAGUUCCUAGGAGAGGCCCCCAUACCCCUUCAUGCUCACAUCACGAGUCCCUUUUUGCUGCUUUCAUGAUGAAAGGCAUCCUGUGAGGAGGAGAUUUGCUCCCAGAACAGGAGGGCCAUUCCUGGAGUUAUAGGGUAGUCUCAUGCUAGAAUCAUGAAUAUCUGAAUCAGAGAAUCACAGAUGGUUAGAGCAAGAUGAGCUCUUAAACCCACGUAGUCCAGCCCUCUCAUUUUACUGAUGAAGAAGCUGAGGUCCCAGGUGGGG